This 460-nucleotide ribosomal RNA is filed under the name uncultured bacterium. RNAcentral's name for it is "partial 16S ribosomal RNA". It matches the Rfam family "Bacterial small subunit ribosomal RNA", at positions 338 to 795 of the family's 1533-position model. The record is from RNAcentral.
CCUACGGGCGGCAGCAGUGAGGAAUAUUGGUCAAUGGACGGAAGUCUGAACCAGCCAUGCCGCGUGCAGGAAGACGGCUCUAUGAGUUGUAAACUGCUUUUGUACAAGGGUAAACCUGGAUACGUGUAUUCGGCUGAAAGUACUGUACGAAUAAGGAUCGGCUAACUCCGUGCCAGCAGCCGCGGUAAUACGGAGGAUCCAAGCGUUAUCCGGAUUUAUUGGGUUUAAAGGGUGCGUAGGCGGAUUGAUAAGUUAGAGGUGAAAUGCCCGAGCUUAACUCGGGAACUGCCUCUAAUACUGUUGAUCUAGAGAUUAGAUGCGGUAGGCGGAAUGUAUGGUGUAGCGGUGAAAUGCAUAGAGAUCAUACAGAACACCGAUUGCGAAGGCAGCUUACCAAUCUAUAUCUGACGUUGAGGCACGAAAGCGUGGGGAGCAAACAGGAUUAGAUACCCCAGUAGUC